CCCGCCCGCGCCGCCCUGCCCCGGGGGGCGGGCCCAGCGCGCAGCCCUUCCUGUCGGCGGCGGUUGUGCGCGGUCGGGGCGCCGAGGGCACCUGCUCGGGGUCGCCAUGAAUAAUCCUAUACCUUCCAAUUUGAAAUCGGAAGCAAAAAAGGCUGCUAAAAUUCUGAGAGAAUUCACGGAAAUAACCUCCAGAAACGGACCUGAUAAGAUCAUUCCUGCCCACGUCAUCGCUAAAGCGAAGGGCCUUGCCAUUUUGUCGGUGAUAAAAGCUGGAUUUCUAGUAACUGCUAGAGGAGGCAGUGGGGUCGUGCUGGCUCGUCUUCCGGACGGAAAAUGGUCUGCGCCUUCAGCCAUCGGGAUAGCGGGGCUCGGCGGAGGCUUCGAAGUGGGAAUUGAGGUAUCAGAUUUGGUAAUAAUUUUGAAUUAUGACAGAGCAGUAGAAGCUUUUGCAAAAGGUGGUAACCUGACCCUUGGAGGGAAUUUUACUGUGGCAGUUGGGCCCCUGGGAAGGAAUUUAGAAGGAAACGUUGCCCUGAGAAGCUCUGCCGCUGUCUUUACGUACUGCAAAUCAAGAGGGCUCUUUGCUGGCGUAUCUUUAGAGGGCAGUUGUUUGAUCGAAAGGAAAGACACUAAUCGGAAGUUUUACUGUCGCGACGUCCGAGCCUACGACCUGCUCUUCGGAGAAGCGCCGCGGCCGGCGCAAGCGGACGAGCUCUAUGAGGUCCUGGACUCCUUCACCGCCAAGUACGAGCGUGACGGACAGCGAGCCAACGCCCGGAGAGCCGCGCGGGAGCGGAGGCGGGCUGCGGUGCGUGUCCCCGCGGCGACAGACAUGCCUCCCACGCCGACGCCGGGACCGCAGCCGCCCCCCGCACGAGGCCCCCGAAGUAACGGACACAAGUGCAAGCUCUACCCUGAGCUUCCCGGCCUUCCGCAGAGAGUUGAUCACAAGGAGGCAGAGAGAGAGGGGGAAGCAGGCUCCCCCGUGAGCAGGGAGCCCGAUGCCGGACUCGAUCCCAGGACCCUGAGAUCAUGACCUGAGCUGAAGGCAGAGGCUUUACCCACAGAGCCCCCCAGGCGCCCCAGCCUCCGUAUUUCUUGAGCACAGGAAUAGGAAACUGGAAGGCCUGGGUCACUCAGAAGGGAAGGCAUCUGUGAACGCCAGAUACUUUCAUCAGCAGUGGGGCCGGUUUCCGUGGUCCCUGGGGGGCUUUCCCUUUCUGAAAGGUCCAACCCCCCUCCCGGAAGAAAAAGGCCCACUUUUUUUUUUUUUAUAAGCUAUUUUGUGGGCAUUAAACUUUUCCUUGUGGGAAAUAUCCCGAAUAUUUACAGCAAAGGAGAGCUUUAAGUCAUUUUGCUGGAAGAAGCAGCAGUAGGGCCUGGCCUGCGGGGCCUGCGGGCUGCGGCCUCCAGGGCCUUCAUUCGGGCUGGGCUCCCUGCCUCGUGUUCUUGUGUGUGGAUUUUCCCCGAAACGGCUUCAGCUUCUGAGUCUUCUGGGGCUCCCCCCGGCUCCCUGUCCUGCCCGUACUGCCCCUCGCUCUACCAGCCACGAUCCCCGCCCCUCUGCCUCAUGUCUGCCCAGAGUUUGGGUCGGGGAAGCCCCGCCGUGCCGCCGCCUUCUCUCGAAACCGCUGGCUCUGCCCUCGCACCACGUUCCCAUCAGCACUUUGUCCUCCGUGCAUCUGGAAGGUACAGCUCAGAGGCAGCACCUGUCACCAUUGCUCUCGUCCCUUCGGAUGUCUUAAUGUUGUGCGACACGUGGCUGCUGAGAUGGCGAUGACUUCCAGAACACUCCCUGAUGCUCACUGGGGCUCCUCCAGUUGUGCUUUGUGUCAUCCGAGACGUCUGGAGACGGGAGAGGAGGAGUCUUGAGGGUGUCCGUUAACUGGGGUUGAAGAGGUUGAGCUUCGUGUGUGGGUGGCUAUCUGGACGAGCCCGUGGAAGUGACGGCGUUGUAUUCUUUCAAGGGACAACAGCCUGGGGACUUGAAUUUUCAAGCUGGAGACAGAAUCACAGUUAUAUCAAAAACAGACUCACAGUUCGAUUGGUGGGAAGGAAAGCUUCGAGGUCAAACUGGCAUUUUUCCAGCCAACUAUGUUGCCAUGAAUUAAAGUUUAUAUUAUUUUCUUC
RNA transcript from Mustela lutreola (European mink), 2130 nucleotides. It is a transcript of the gene named SH3 and SYLF domain containing 1, with no coding region annotated. The record is from RefSeq and is a predicted model, not a curated record. NCBI's taxonomy places the organism in Eukaryota, Metazoa, Chordata, Mammalia, Carnivora, Mustelidae. The transcript is spliced from 11 exons.